This 305-nucleotide ribosomal RNA is filed under the name uncultured bacterium. RNAcentral describes it as "bacterial SSU rRNA". It matches the Rfam family "Bacterial small subunit ribosomal RNA", at positions 335 to 659 of the family's 1533-position model. The record is from RNAcentral.
GUCCUACGGGACGCAGCAGUGGGGAAUAUUGCACAAUGGGGGAAACCCUGAUGCAGCGACGCCGCGUGAAGGACGAAGUAUUUCGGUACGUAAACUUCUAUCAGCAGGGAAGAAAAUGACGGUACCUGACCAAGAAGCCCCGGCUAACUACGUGCCAGCAGCCGCGGUAAUACGGAGGAUGCGAGCGUUAUCCGGAUUUAUUGGGUUUAAAGGGUGCGUAGGCGGACAGUCAAGUCAGCGGUAAAAAUGCGGUGCUCAACGCCGUACAGCCGUUGAAACUGGCAGUCUUGAGUGGGCGAGAAGUA